GAGAGAAGCUUGCUUCUCUUGAGAGCGGCGGACGGGUGAGUAAYGCCUAGGAAUCUGCCUGGUAGUGGGGGAUAACGUUCGGAAACGGACGCUAAUACCGCAUACGUCCUACGGGAGAAAGCAGGGGACCUUCGGGCCUUGCGCUAUCAGAUGAGCCUAGGUCGGAUUAGCUAGUUGGUGAGGUAAUGGCUCACCAAGGCGACGAUCCGUAACUGGUCUGAGAGGAUGAUCAGUCACACUGGAACUGAGACACGGUCCAGACUCCUACGGGAGGCAGCAGUGGGGAAUAUUGGACAAUGGGCGAAAGCCUGAUCCAGCCAUGCCGCGUGUGUGAAGAAGGUCUUCGGAUUGUAAAGCACUUUAAGUUGGGAGGAAGRGCAGUUACCUAAUACGUGAUUGUUUUGACGUUACCGACAGAAUAAGCACCGGCUAACUCU
RNAcentral lists this ribosomal RNA (437 nucleotides) under Pseudomonas sp. SC14. RNAcentral describes it as "bacterial SSU rRNA". It matches the Rfam family "Bacterial small subunit ribosomal RNA", at positions 71 to 504 of the family's 1533-position model. Lineage: Bacteria; Pseudomonadati; Pseudomonadota; Gammaproteobacteria; Pseudomonadales; Pseudomonadaceae. The record is from RNAcentral.